AGGACGAACGCUGGCGGCGUGCUUAACACAUGCAAGUCGAACGGAAAGGCCCUUCGGGGUACUCGAGUGGCGAACGGGUGAGUAACACGUGGGUGAUCUGCCCUGCACUUUGGGAUAAGCCUGGGAAACUGGGUCUAAUACCGAAUAUACCCUGCUGGUCGCAUGGCCUGGUGGGGGAAAGCUUUUGCGGUGUGGGAUGGGCCCGCGGCCUAUCAGCUUGUUGGUGGGGUGAUGGCCUACCAAGGCGACGACGGGUAGCCGGCCUGAGAGGGUGUCCGGCCACACUGGGACUGAGAUACGGCCCAGACUCCUACGGGAGGCAGCAGUGGGGAAUAUUGCACAAUGGGCGCAAGCCUGAUGCAGCGACGCCGCGUGAGGGACGACGGCCUUCGGGUUGUAAACCUCUUUCAGUAGGGACGAAGCGCGAGUGACGGUACCUACAGAAGAACGGACCGGCCAACUACGCGCCAGCAGGCCGC
This 479-nucleotide ribosomal RNA is filed under the name uncultured bacterium. Its description in RNAcentral is "SSU rRNA". It matches the Rfam family "Bacterial small subunit ribosomal RNA", at positions 26 to 518 of the family's 1533-position model. The record is from RNAcentral.